GAAAUGCGAUAAGUAAUGUGAAUUGCAGAAUUCAGUGAAUCAUCGAAUCUUUGAACGCACAUUGCGCCCCUUGGUAUUCCGAGGGGCAUGCCUGUUCGAGCGUCAUUACACCACUCAAGCUAUGCUUGGUAUUGGGUGUCGUCCUUAGUUGGGCGCGCCUUAAAGACCUCGGCGAGGCCUCACCGGCUUUAGGCGUAGUAGAAUUUAUUCGAACGUCUGUCAAAGGAGAGGACUUCUGCCGACUGAAACCUUUUAUUUUUCUAGGUUGACCUCGGAUCAGGUAGGGAUACCCGCUGAACUUAAGC
This 305-nucleotide unclassified non-coding RNA is filed under the name plant metagenome. Its description in RNAcentral is "partial contains 5.8S ribosomal RNA, internal transcribed spacer 2, and large subunit ribosomal RNA". The stretch from base 1 to 105 matches the Rfam family "5.8S ribosomal RNA", at positions 50 to 154 of the family's 154-position model. The record is from RNAcentral.